RNAcentral lists this ribosomal RNA (253 nucleotides) under uncultured bacterium. Its description in RNAcentral is "partial 16S ribosomal RNA". It matches the Rfam family "Bacterial small subunit ribosomal RNA", at positions 524 to 776 of the family's 1533-position model. The record is from RNAcentral.
UACGGAGGGUGCAAGCGUUAUCCGGAUUCACUGGGCGUAAAGGGUGCGUAGGCGGCCGGGUAAGUCUGCUGUGAAAUCCCGCAGCUCAACUGCGGAACUGCAUUGGAUACUAUCCGGCUAGAGGAAUGGAGGGGAGACUGGAAUUCUCGGUGUAGCAGUGAAAUGCGUAGAUAUCGUAAGGAAGACCAGUGGCGAAGGCGGGUCUCUGGACAGUUCCUGACGCUGAGGCACGAAGGUCAGGGGAGCAAACGGG